Molecule: ribosomal RNA, 1357 nt
Filed under: uncultured bacterium
Lineage: Bacteria
Description: bacterial SSU rRNA
Rfam family: Bacterial small subunit ribosomal RNA
Source: RNAcentral
AUUGAACGCUGGCGGCAGGCUUAACACAUGCAAGUCGAACGAUGAUUAUCUAGCUUGCUAGAUAUGAUUAGUGGCGGACGGGUGAGUAACAUUUAGGAAUCUGCCUAGUAGUGGGGGAUAGCUCGGGGAGACUCGAAUUAAUACCGCAUACGACCUACGGGUGAAAGGGGGCGCAAGCUCUUGCUAUUAGAUGAGCCUAAAUCAGAUUAGCUAGUUGGUGGGGUAAAGGCCCACCAAGGCGACGAUCUGUAACUGGUCUGAGAGGAUGAUCAGUCACACCGGAACAGAGACACGGUCCGGACUCCUACGGGAGGCAGCAGUGGGGAAUAUUGGACAAUGGGGGCAACCCUGAUCCAGCCAUGCCGCGUGUGUGAAGAAGGCCUUUUGGUUGUAAAGCACUUUAAGCAGGGAGGAGAGGCUAAUGGUUAAUACCCAUUAGAUUAGACGUUACCUGCAGAAUAAGCACCGGCUAACUCUGUGCCAGCAGCCGCGGUAAUACAGAGGGUGCGAGCGUUAAUCGGAAUUACUGGGCGUAAAGCGAGUGUAGGUGGCUCAUUAAGUCACAUGUGAAAUCCCCGGGCUUAACCUGGGAACUGCAUGUGAUACUGGUGGUGCUAGAAUAUGUGAGAGGGAAGUAGAAUUCCAGGUGUAGCGGUGAAAUGCGUAGAGAUCUGGAGGAAUACCGAUGGGCGAAGGCAGCUUCCUGGCAUAAUAUUGACACUGAGAUUCGAAAGCGUGGGUAGCAAACAGGAUUAGAUACCCUGGUAGUCCACGCCGUAAACGAUGUCUACUAGCCGUUGGGGUCCCUUGAGACUUUAGUGGCGCAGUUAACGCGAUAAGUAGACCGCCUGGGGAGUACGGCCGCAAGGUUAAAACUCAAAUGAAUUGACGGGGGCCCGCACAAGCGGUGGAGCAUGUGGUUUAAUUCGAUGCAACGCGAAGAACCUUACCUGGUCUUGACAUAGUGAGAAUCCUGCAGAGAUGCGGGAGUGCCUUCGGGAAUUCACAUACAGGUGCUGCAUGGCUGUCGUCAGCUCGUGUCGUGAGAUGUUGGGUUAAGUCCCGCAACGAGCGCAACCCUUUUCCUUAUUUGCCAGCGGGUUAAGCCGGGAACUUUAAGGAUACUGCCAGUGACAAACUGGAGGAAGGCGGGGACGACGUCAAGUCAUCAUGGCCCUUACGACCAGGGCUACACACGUGCUACAAUGGUAGGUACAGAGGGUUGCUACACAGCGAUGUGAUGCUAAUCUCAAAAAGCCUAUCGUAGUCCGGAUUGGAGUCUGCAACUCGACUCCAUGAAGUCGGAAUCGCUAGUAAUCGCAGAUCAGAAUGCUGCGGUGAAUACGUUCCCGGGCCU